This 178-nucleotide ribosomal RNA is filed under the name Shigella dysenteriae. Its description in RNAcentral is "partial 16S ribosomal RNA". It matches the Rfam family "Bacterial small subunit ribosomal RNA", at positions 1 to 172 of the family's 1533-position model. Lineage: Bacteria; Pseudomonadati; Pseudomonadota; Gammaproteobacteria; Enterobacterales; Enterobacteriaceae. The record is from RNAcentral.
AAAUUGAAGAGUUUGAUCAUGGCUCAGAUUGAACGCUGGCGGCAGGCCUAACACAUGCAAGUCGAACGGUAACAGGAAACAGCUUGCUGUUUCGCUGACGAGUGGCGGACGGGUGAGUAAUGUCUGGGGAACUGCCUGAUGGAGGGGGAUAACUACUGGAAACGGUAGCUAAUACCGC